CCGCAAAAGGCUCAUUAUAUCAGUUAUGGUUCCUUAGAUUGUUAACAGUUACUUGGAUAACUGUGGUAAUUCUAGAGCUAAUACAUGCAAUUAUAAACACGGACCACAGUAGUAAUAUUGUGGGACGUGUGCUUUUAUUAGACAAAAACCAAGCGAUCGUUGAUUUGUAGUCAUCGAUUGUUAAAAUUUGGUUGAACUCUAGAUAACUUGCUGAUCGUAUGGUCUCGUACCGACGACAGAUCUUUCAAAUGUCUGCCCUAUCAACUUUUGAUGGUAGUAUAUAGGACUACCAUGGUUGCUACGGGUAACGGGGAAUCAGGGUUCGAUUCCGGAGAGGGAGCCUGAGAAACGGCUACCACAUCUAAGGAAGGCAGCAGGCGCGUAAAUUACCCACUCCCAGCUCGGGGAGGUAGUGACGAAAAAUAACAAUACAGGACUCAUUUUAGAGGCAUUGUAAUUGGAAUGAGUACACUUUAAAUCCUUUAACAAGGACCUAUUGGAGGGCAAGCCUAGUGCCAGYAGCCGCGGUAACUCUAGCUCCAAUAGCGUAUAUUAAAGUUGUUGCGGUUAAAACGUUCGUAGUUGAAUUUGUGCUUCAUACAGUUAGUAUCGAUUAUAAAUGUAGUCGAUUACAAACUUGACGUAUGUAAGCGUAUUACCGGUGGGAGGUCAAUAUUUGUAUAUUUGUGUUGGAAGCGGUGUGGCGGUCGUCCUCGUUGUUGCGAAUGCCUUGUCAUUUCGAUGGCAUUGCAUCCCGUAAUCUCGCUGUGGCGUCGUCACCCAUCUAACCGGUGUGCAGAUAUACUCCUAAUUUUCUUUUUUUAUAAAAAGAAAAAGAAAAACCCAUUUCGGUGCUCUUUAUCGGGUGUUGAUGUGGGCCGGUACAAUUACUUUGAACAAAUUAGAGUGCUUCAAGCAGGCUAUGAAAUGCCUGAAUAUUUUGUGCAUGGAAUAAUGAAAUAAGACCUCUGUUCUACUUUCAUUGGUUUUUAGAUCGAAAGAGGUAAUGAUUAAUAGAAGCAGUUUGGGGGCAUUAGUAUUACGACGCGAGAGGUGAAAUUCUUGGACCGUCGUAAGACUAACUUAAGCGAAAGCAUUUGCCAAAGAUGUUUUCAUUAAUCAAGAACGAAAGUUAGAGGUUCGAAGGCGAUCAGAUACCGCCCUAGUUCUAACCAUAAACGAUGCCAGCUAGCAAUUGGGUGUAGCUAAGAUUAUGGCUCUCU
This 1223-nucleotide ribosomal RNA is filed under the name Penicillidia leptothrinax. Its description in RNAcentral is "SSU rRNA". It matches the Rfam family "Eukaryotic small subunit ribosomal RNA", at positions 87 to 1091 of the family's 1831-position model. Lineage: Eukaryota; Metazoa; Arthropoda; Insecta; Diptera; Nycteribiidae. The record is from RNAcentral.